Molecule: non-coding RNA, 339 nt
Filed under: Paenibacillus sp.
Lineage: Bacteria; Bacillati; Bacillota; Bacilli; Caryophanales; Paenibacillaceae
Description: T-box sequence
Rfam family: T-box leader
About the family: Uncharged tRNA acts as the effector for transcription antitermination of genes in the T-box leader family. T-boxes are found upstream of many aminoacyl-tRNA synthetase genes and some amino acid biosynthetic genes usually in Gram-positive bacteria.
Source: RNAcentral
AUAAACGCGAUGAACGGGAGCAGUAGAAGGGAGCUGUCUACAGAGAGCUGCGGUUUUGGUGCAACGCAGCGGCAGCAAGCUUCGAAUCUCGCCCGGGAGCGGAAGAGGGAACGUCUGCAGGUCGGAUGAUUUGAUCGACCCGGAUCGAAUGCCAAGAAUGCAGAUAGGACUCUCUUACGGCGUUCCUCCGUCAUCGGGAAGUCCAUUCUCUUCAUGACCCGGCCGGCAUGAGGAGAUCAUGGACGGUGAGUGGACACGUGCGUGCGUUAGCAUCGCUGAACAGCAUGGCGUGUCAAUUAGAGUGGUACCACGGAGGGUCUUUAGCCCGUCGUCUCUUAU